RNAcentral lists this ribosomal RNA (2919 nucleotides) under Neogregarinorida sp. OPPPC1. Its description in RNAcentral is "eukaryotic LSU rRNA". It matches the Rfam family "Eukaryotic large subunit ribosomal RNA", at positions 1 to 2962 of the family's 3401-position model. The record is from RNAcentral. Lineage: Eukaryota; Apicomplexa; Conoidasida; Neogregarinorida.
UUUUGUCUGAAGUUGAAUAAGACGACCCGCUGAACUUAAGCAUAUUAAUAAGCGGAGGAAAAGAAACUAAAAAGGAUUUCCUUAGUAGCGGCGAGCGAACAGGAAAUAGCUCAAGCUGUAAAUUAACGAUUUAUCGUUGAAUUGUAGUCUCACGAAGCACUACGAGUAAACAAGCUGUAAUAAGUCUCUUGGAAGAGAGUACCAAAGAAGGUGAAAGUCCUGUCUUUUUCCAGUUUGUGUUACGUACUGUAUGCUUUCCUAGAGUCGCGUUCCUUGAGACCGGAGCGCUAAGUCAGGUGGUAAAUUUCAUCUAAAGCUAAAUAUCCGUGGGAGCCCGAUAGAGUACAAGUACCGUGAGGGAAAGCUGAAAAGAACUCUGAAAAGAGAGUUAAAAGAAACUGAAAUUGCUGGAAGGGAAGUGGAAGGUUUGGGCGUUCAAUGUUGGUUUAGCUCGCCACAUGUAAUCAACAACAGGUUACAAGUGGUGCAGCGGCUUGCAGUGACACUGAACACAAAGACGUGUUGAAAAUGCGAAAACAGGUCGCUUUAUUUCUUUGGAAAUAGACGGUCUAUUAGCGUUUGUCUUGUUGUCUUUGUAAAGUAGCACGAACUAUUUACAUGCUACUAGGUUCAGGUGUUCCCUCACCUUCCGUCCCGUCUUGAAACACGGGCCAAGGAGUCUAAGUUGUGCGCGAGUGCAAAGGUUGUAAGACCUAUGUGCAAAAUGAAAGUGAACAGUUGAGCAAGUUUGUACUUCCACCAACGUCCAACAGCAUUGUUGAGACCGAGCGUACAGUUUAGGACCCGAAAGAUGGUGAACUAUGCCUGAGUAGGGUAAAGCCAGAGGAAACUCUGGUGGAAGCUCGAAGCGAUACUGACGUGCAAAUCGUUCGUCAAACUUGGGUAUAGGGGCGAAAGACUAAUCGAACCAUCUAGUAGCUGGUUCCCUCCGAAGUUUCCCUUAGGAUAGCUGGAUUCUAUUAGAAAGUUGCACUAGGUAAAGCGAAUGAUUAGAGGUAUCGGAGGAUUUUUCCCUUCGACCUAUUCUCAAACUUUGAAUGGGUGCGAACUAGUAGUUUCUUAAUUGAACUAUUAGACCUAAUGACGACUCCAAGUGGGCCAUUUUUGGUAAGCAGAACUGGCGAUGAGGGAUGCUCCUAACGUUGAGCUAAGGUGCUUAAAUUUUGCUCAUAAGAUACCAUAAAAGGUGUUGGUUCAUUCAAACAGCAGGACGGUGGUCAUGGAAGUUGAAAUCCGCUAAGGAGUGUGUAACAACUCACCUGCCGAAUGAACUAGCCCUGAAAAUGGAUGGCGCUGAAGCGAAAAUACCGAUGCUUGACCAUCACUUUUGUAGCACAAAGUGAUGAGUAGGAGGGCGUGGAGGUUGUAGAGAAGUGUAAGAUGUAAAUCUACAUAGAACGGCCUCCAGUGCAGAUCUUGGUGGUAGUAGCAACUAUUUAAAUGAAACCUUUAAAGACUGAAGCGGAGAAGGGUUCCAUGUGAACAGCAAUUGGACAUGGGUUAGCCGUUCCUAAGAAUAGGAGCUUUUUCUCUAUAAGUAAAGCUAUGCUUUCGCUUUCGACAGGGAAUUAGGUUAAGAUUCCUAAGCUGGGAAGUGGAUAUUGCGUGGCAACACAAAUAAACUUGGAAAUGCAAGACGUAGCCCCGCGUAGCGUUAUCUGUGCUGCUUAACAUUCAUUUUUCCCUGGAAGUAGAUUACCUAAAGAUAGGGAAAAACAGAUGGAAUAGCACCUUACUUUUAAAGGUGUGCGGAGUGCAGCGUUUUGCCCUUGAAACUCCAAGGGAACGUAUCGUCCACAGCCCUAGUCGUACCAAUAACCGCAUCAGGUCUCCUAGGUUAGCAGCCUCUGGUCAUUAGACUAAAGUAGUUCAGGGAAGUCGGCAAAUUAGAUCCGUAACUUUGGAAAAAGGAUUGGCUCUGAGGGCUGGAUAAAGAAAUACUUCAGCUAAUCUAAGCGUUGAGGGUAUAGCUAUUCUUCGCCUAUGGUAAAGAAUGGAUGUACUCACGACAGCCUAGUGCGGCUUUUGCGUUUUUUUAUGAGAAACAGUUAACUCAGAACUGGAGCGGACAAGAGGAAUCCGACUGUUUAAUUAAAACAAAGCAUUGCGAUGGCCUUAAUUGGUGUUGACGCAAUGUGAUUUCUGCCCAGUGCUCUGAAUGUCAACGUGGUGAGAUUCAACUAAGCGCGGGUAAACGGCGGGAGUAACUAUGACUCUCUUAAGGUAGCCAAAUGCCUCGUCAUCUAAUUAGUGACGCGCAUGAAUGGAUUAACGAGAUUCCUACUGUCCCAAACUACUAUCUAGCGAAACCACAGCCAAGGGAACGGGCUUGGAAAAAUCAGCGGGGAAAGAAGACCCUGUUGAGCUUGACUCUAGUUUGACUUUGUGAAACGACUUAGAAGGUGUAGAAUAAGUGGGAGUAUCAACGUCCGUGAAAUACCACUACUUUUAAUGUCGUUUUACUUAAUCUGUGAGGUUGAAACUUACCACCGGUAAGUUUUAGACUUAAGGCUUUUAUGCUGAUCAAUUUGGAUGACAGAGUCAGAUGGGGAGUUUGGCUGGGGCGGUACAUCUGUUAAACAACAACGCAGGUGUCCUAAGGCGAGCUCAAUGAGAACAGAAAUCUCAUGUGGACCAAAAGGGGAAAAGCUCGCUUGAUUUUGAUUUUCAGUACGAAUACAAACUGCGAAAGCAUGGCCUAUCGAUCCUUUAGUUCUGAAAAAUUUUCAGCUAGAGGUGCCAGAAAAGUUACCACAGGGAUAACUGGCUUGUGGCAGCCAAGCGUUCAUAGCGACGUUGCUUUUUGAUCCUUCGAUGUCGGCUCUUCCUAUCAUUGAGGACGCAGAAGUCCCAAAGUGUCGGAUUGUUCACCCGUUAAUCAGGGAACGUGAGCUGGGU